UGGGGAAUUUUGGACAAUGGGCGAAAGCCUGAUCCAGCAAUGCCGCGUGUGUGAAGAAGGCCUUCGGGUUGUAAAGCACUUUUGUCCGGAAAGAAAUCCUUGGCUCUAAUACAGUCGGGGGAUGACGGUACCGGAAGAAUAAGCACCGGCUAACUACAUGCCAGCAGCCGCGGUAAUACGUAGGGUGCAAGCGUUAAUCGGAAUUACUGGGCGUAAAGCGUGCGCAGGCGGUUUGCUAAGACCGAUGUGAAAUCCCCGGGCUCAACCUGGGAACUGCAUUGGUGACUGGCAGGCUAGAGUAUGGCAGAGGGGGGUAGAAUUCCACGUGUAGCAGUGAAAUGCGUAGAGAUGUGGAGGAAUACCGAUGGCGAAGGCAGCCCCCUGGGCCAAUACUGACGCUCAUGCACGAAAGCGUGGGGAGCAAACAGGAUUAGAUACCCUGGUAGUCCACGCCCUAAACGAUGUCAACUAGUUGUUGGGGAUUCAUUUCCUUAGUAACGUAGCUAACGCGUGAAGUUGACCGCCUGGGGAGUACGGUCGCAAGAUUAAAACUUAAAUGAAUUGACGGGGUCAUAGCUGUUUCCU
Molecule: ribosomal RNA, 585 nt
Filed under: uncultured bacterium
Lineage: Bacteria
Description: partial 16S ribosomal RNA
Rfam family: Bacterial small subunit ribosomal RNA
Source: RNAcentral